CAGCCGCCACGGUAAUACGAAGGGGGCUAGCGUUGUUCGGAUUUACUGGGCGUAAAGCGCACGUAGGCGGACUUUUAAGUCAGGGGUGAAAUCCCGGGGCUCAACCCCGGAACUGCCUUUGAUACUGGAAGUCUUGAGUAUGGUAGAGGUGAGUGGAAUUCCGAGUGUAGAGGUGAAAUUCGUAGAUAUUCGGAGGAACACCAGUGGCGAAGGCGGCUCACUGGACCAUUACUGACGCUGAGGUGCGAAAGCGUGGGGAGCAAACAGGAUUAGAUACCCGAGUAGUCCCUGUCUCUUAUAC
RNAcentral lists this ribosomal RNA (301 nucleotides) under uncultured bacterium. RNAcentral's name for it is "partial 16S ribosomal RNA". It matches the Rfam family "Bacterial small subunit ribosomal RNA", at positions 509 to 807 of the family's 1533-position model. The record is from RNAcentral.